This 253-nucleotide ribosomal RNA is filed under the name uncultured bacterium. Its description in RNAcentral is "partial 16S ribosomal RNA". It matches the Rfam family "Bacterial small subunit ribosomal RNA", at positions 524 to 776 of the family's 1533-position model. The record is from RNAcentral.
UACGUAGGGGGCAAGCGUUGUCCGGAAUCAUUGGGCGUAAAGCGCGUGUAGGCGGCCAGGUAAGUCCGUUCUGAAAGCCCGGGGCUCAACCCCGGGAGGCGGAUGGAUACUGCUUGGCUCGAGUCCGGAAGAGGCGAGUGGAAUUCCCGGUGUAGCGGUGAAAUGCGCAGAUAUCGGGAGGAACACCAAUGGCGAAGGCGACUCACUGGCCCGUUACUGACGCUGAGGCGCGAAAGCGUGGGGAGCAAACAGG